This 404-nucleotide RNase P RNA is filed under the name Natronorubrum texcoconense. RNAcentral describes it as "Archaeal RNase P". It matches the Rfam family "Archaeal RNase P". Rfam says of the family: Ribonuclease P (RNase P) is a ubiquitous endoribonuclease, found in archaea, bacteria and eukarya as well as chloroplasts and mitochondria. Lineage: Archaea; Methanobacteriati; Methanobacteriota; Halobacteria; Halobacteriales; Natrialbaceae. The record is from RNAcentral.
GAGUUGCCCAACGCUCGCGAGGAAAGUCCCCCCACCUGUUCGGGCAGGUGACCGGGCGCAAGUCCGGAGCGGGAGACCGCUGGCUCUGGAACAGAAACGACACGUCUCGGCCCGACCGAUGAUGCGCGCGAACCCGACCGAGAGGAAGGGGAGCUAACCCGCAGAGGAUUGCGGUUGAUACCCCGUGGUUCGAAUCCGCGGAUCGUGUGCGCGGUUCGGAGCGCCUUCGGCGCGAGAACCGCGAGUCACGAUCGACCGCAUGGAGACGGCCGAGGAGCGAUGGAACGGCGAACCCUCACCGGUGCAAGUCCGUGCCGUGGUAGCCCGAACGCCCCGCGGCCUCGCCGCGGACGGCGCGGACGCUCAGCCGAAUGCCGGGACGAACAGAAGGGGGCUUACUCCUC